AGUGAACGCUGGCGGCGUGCUUAACACAUGCAAGUCGAUCGGACUUUAAGGGCUUGCUCUUAAAGUUAGUGGCGCACGGGUGAGUAACACGUAAUUAAUCUGCCCCAUAGUAAGGGACAACAGUUGGAAACUAUUGCUAAUACCUUAUAUUCCGUCUUGGCCUAAGUCAACACGGGAAAGUUUUUCGGUAUGGUAUGAGACUGAGGGAUAUCAGAUAGGUGGUGAGGUAAUGGAUAACAAAGGCUAAGAAGGAUAGCUGGUUUGAGAGGAUGAUCAGCCAAACUGGAACAGAGACACGAUACAGACUACUGCGGGAGGCAGCAGUGGGGAAUUUUACAAAAUGGGAGAAAGUCUGAUGUAGCAACGCCGCGUGGAGGAUGACGGAUUUCGGUUUGUAAACUACUUUUAAAAGAGAAGAAAUUUGACGGUACCUUAUGAAUAAGCACCGGCUAACUCCGUGCCAGCAGCCGCAGUAA
RNAcentral lists this ribosomal RNA (476 nucleotides) under uncultured bacterium. RNAcentral describes it as "partial 16S ribosomal RNA". It matches the Rfam family "Bacterial small subunit ribosomal RNA", at positions 29 to 523 of the family's 1533-position model. The record is from RNAcentral.